Artibeus jamaicensis (Jamaican fruit-eating bat) is the source of this 162-nucleotide small nuclear RNA. RefSeq annotates it as U1 spliceosomal RNA. The transcript has a single exon. NCBI's taxonomy places the organism in Eukaryota, Metazoa, Chordata, Mammalia, Chiroptera, Phyllostomidae. The record is from RefSeq and is a predicted model, not a curated record.
AUACUUACUUGGCAGGGGAGAUACCAUGAUCACAAAGGUGGCCUUCCCAGGGCAAGAGUUAUCCGUUGCACUCUGGAUGUACACACCCAUGAGAUUUCCCCAAAUGUGGGAAACUUGAAUGCAUAAUUUGUGGUAGUGGGGACUAUAUUGGUGCUCUCCUUU